CGGGGGACAACAUUUGGAAACAGAUGCUAAUACCGCAUAACAACGUUGUUCGCAUGAACAACGUUUCAAAGAUGGCCUCUGGCUAUCACUUCUGGAUGGACCUGCGGUGCAUUAGCUUGUUGGUGGGGUAAUGGCCUACCAAGGCGAUGAUGCAUAGCCGAGUUGAGAGACUGAUCGGCCACAAUGGGACUGAGACACGGCCCAUACUCCUACGGGAGGCAGCAGUAGGGAAUCUUCCACAAUGGGCGCAAGCCUGACGGAGCAACACCGCGUGAGUGAAGAAGGGUUUCGGCUCGUAAAGCUCUGUUGUUAAAGAAGAACAUGCGUGAGAGUAACUGUUCACGCAUUGACGGUAUUUAACCAGAAAGUCACGGCUAACUACGUGCCAGCAGCCGCGGUAAUACGUAGGUGGCAAGCGUUAUCCGGAUUUAUUGGGCGUAAAGAGAGUGCAGGCGGUUUACUAAGUCUGAUGUGAAAGCCUUCGGCUUAACCGGAGAAGGGCAUCGGAAACUGGCUAACUUGAGUGCAGAAGAGGGUAGUGGAACUCCAUGUGUAGCGGUGGAAUGCGUAGAUAUAUGGAAGAACACCAGUGGCGAAGGCGGCUACCUGGUCUGUAACUGACGCUGAGACUCGAAAGCAUGGGUAGCGAACAGGAUUAGAUACCCUGGUAGUCCAUGCCGUAAACGAUGAGUGCUAGGUGUUGGAGGGUUUCCUCUCUUCAGUGCCGGAGAUAAAACCACUAAGCACUCUGCCUGGGGAGUACGCCCCCAAGGUUGAAACUCUAAAGAAAAUGAGGGGGGGCCGCACACGCGGUGGGGCAUUUGGUCUUAUUUGAAGUUACGCGAAGAGCCCUUUUCCGGUCUCGACAUCUUGCGCCCCCCCUAGAGAUAGGGGGUGUCCUUCUCGAACGCAAAGACAGAAGGUGCAUGGUCGUCGUCUCCUCGUGUCGUGAGAGGUUGGGUUAAGUCUCGCUCCGAGCGCCACCCUUCUUUCUAGUUGCCACGCACUCUCGUUGGGCACAUAUCGUGAGACUUCCGGCGACAAACCGGAGGAAGGGGGGGGCGAGGUCAGAUCAUCCUUCCCCCUAUGACCUGGGGUACACACGUGCCACAAUGGAACGUACAACGAGUCGCGAACUUGCGGGGGCAAGCAAAUAUUUGAAAACCGUUCUCUGUUUGGACUGCCGGUUGCAACUUGCCUGCCCGCCGUUGGAAUCGCUAGUAAUCGCGGAUCAGC
This 1236-nucleotide ribosomal RNA is filed under the name uncultured bacterium. RNAcentral's name for it is "partial 16S ribosomal RNA". It matches the Rfam family "Bacterial small subunit ribosomal RNA", at positions 137 to 1353 of the family's 1533-position model. The record is from RNAcentral.